GCAGUCGAACGGUAACAGGAAACAGCUUGCUGUUUCGCUGACGAGUGGCGGACGGGUGAGUAAUGUCUGGGAAACUGCCUGAUGGAGGGGGAUAACUACUGGAAACGGUAGCUAAUACCGCAUAACGUCGCAAGACCAAAGAGGGGGACCCUCGGGCCUCUUGCCAUCGGAUGUGCCCAGAUGGGAUUAGCUUGUUGGUGGGGUAACGGCUCACCAAGGCGACGAUCCCUAGCUGGUCUGAGAGGAUGACCAGCCACACUGGAACUGAGACACGGUCCAGACUCCUACGGGAGGCAGCAGUGGGGAAUAUUGCACAAUGGGCGCAAGCCUGAUGCAGCCAUGCCGCGUGUAUGAAGAAGGCCUUCGGGUUGUAAAGUACUUUCAGCGGGGAGGAAGGGAGUAAAGUUAAUACCUUUGCUCAUUGACGUUACCCGCAGAAGAAGCACCGGCUAACUCCGUGCCAGCAGCCGCGGUAAUACGGAGGGUGCAAGCGUUAAUCGGAAUUACUGGGCGUAAAGCGCACGCAGGCGGUUUGUUAAGUCAGAUGUGAAAUCCCCGGGCUCAACCUGGGAACUGCAUCUGAUACUGGCAAGCUUGAGUCUCGUAGAGGGGGGUAGAAUUCCAGGUGU
This 629-nucleotide ribosomal RNA is filed under the name uncultured bacterium. RNAcentral's name for it is "bacterial SSU rRNA". It matches the Rfam family "Bacterial small subunit ribosomal RNA", at positions 57 to 676 of the family's 1533-position model. The record is from RNAcentral.